CUUUGGACAAUGGUAGGAGAGCGUUCUAAGGGCGUUGAAGCAUGAUCGUAAGGACAUGUGGAGCGCUUAGAAGUGAGAAUGCCGGUGUGAGUAGCGAAAGACGGGUGAGAAUCCCGUCCACCGAUUGACUAAGGUUUCCAGAGGAAGGCUCGUCCGCUCUGGGUUAGUCGGGUCCUAAGCUGAGGCCGACAGGCGUAGGCGAUGGAUAACAGGUUGAUAUUCCUGUACCACCUAUAAUCGUUUUAAUCGAUGGGGGGACGCAGUAGGAUAGGCGAAGCGUGCGAUUGGAUUGCACGUCUAAGCAGUAAGGCUGAGUAUUAGGCAAAUCCGGUACUCGUUAAGGCUGAGCUGUGAUGGGGAGAAGACAUUGUGUCUUCGAGUCGUUGAUUUCACACUGCCGAGAAAAGCCUCUAGAUAGAAAAUAGGUGCCCGUACCGCAAACCGACACAGGUAGUCAAGAUGAGAAUUCUAAGGUGAGCGAGCGAACUCUCGUUAAGGAACUCGGCAAAAUGACCCCGUAACUUCGGGAGAAGGGGUGCUCUUUAGGGUUAACGCCCAGAAGAGCCGCAGUGAAUAGGCCCAAGCGACUGUUUAUCAAAAACACAGGUCUCUGCUAAACCGUAAGGUGAUGUAUAGGGGCUGACGCCUGCCCGGUGCUGGAAGGUUAAGAGGAGUGGUUAGCUUCUGCGAAGCUACGAAUCGAAGCCCCAGUAAACGGCGGCCGUAACUAUAACGGUCCUAAGGUAGCGAAAUUC
Molecule: ribosomal RNA, 755 nt
Filed under: Staphylococcus aureus
Lineage: Bacteria; Bacillati; Bacillota; Bacilli; Caryophanales; Staphylococcaceae
Description: partial 23S ribosomal RNA
Rfam family: Bacterial large subunit ribosomal RNA
Source: RNAcentral